This 1150-nucleotide long non-coding RNA is filed under the name Citrus maxima (pomelo). Its description in RNAcentral is "long non-coding RNA (CMAX_LNC000553)". The record is from RNAcentral. Lineage: Eukaryota; Viridiplantae; Streptophyta; Magnoliopsida; Sapindales; Rutaceae.
AGAGAAAAGAAAAGAAAAAGAGAAGAAGAAAGUCUGCUUCUUCUUCUUAGUUCUGCCAUAGGCAACACAUGGGAUCAAGUUCUUAUUGUUGGGAGAAGUUUUUGAGGUAAGUUUUAAUUACUGGUUUCUAUUAAAUUGUUGUGGAGAAGCACGAUUGCAAUAGAAGUAGAAAUAUAAGAUUUUAUAGAAAUAUGCUGACAGUGAAUUAUUACGGAAAUCAUAGUAAUUUGUACAAAUUGAUUUUGAUUUUGAUUUUUGGAUAUGUUAAACUAGACAUCGUCUAGAAUGUUUUGAAACUUUUUUCAAGUUAAUCGGAUAAGAUUUCAAUUAAUUAUGAUUUUUCAAAUUCAAGUCUGAAAACCUGGAAAUUUAUGAUUUCAGUGAAUAAUGUGAAUUACGAAAUUAUUUUUACCAUAGUUAGACUUCUUCAAAAAUUAUGCAAUUUGGACCAAUGAUUUUUAUAUAUGUCUAGUAUGAUUCUGGAAAUUUUCAUGAUUUUAUGAUAAAGCAAUAAAUUGUUUUGUAUUUGUAAAGCAAGUGUGUUCAAAACAGAAAACUGUUUGACAGUAUUGAUGAUGUCUGAAACGUGAAUUAUUUUCAAUAGUUUUUGAAGGAAUUAUGUUAUGAAAUUUUUAUCAAUGAACUUUCAAUGUGUCAGUAUAUCGUCUGUAAAAUUUUAGAUUCUUCCAAUAAGAGAAUAAUUUAUUAAAAAUCGGAGAAUUAUGGACUGUUAUGUUUUGAGGGCCGAUUAUUGAGGACAUUUGAGGUUGAGCUUAGGAGUUGUUUAAAUUGAGAUAUUUGAGGACAUUAGAGUUUAUGAUUGAGAUUUGAUUAUAUCUUAUGAGGCGUUAUUGAUGGUUUUAGGUUGAUGGUAUCAGUACGCAUUUGUUACAUGAGGAUGCCAAGAGGUAAGUAAACUAGACUUCAAAACGAAUCACAAUAAACAAUAUAUAUGUUUGACUUGUGUGAAAAGCCUAUCUUGAUAUGUACGAAUAUGGAUCUAUAUGUCUUUGCCCAUAUGUUUAUGUGAUGUGUUGUUAUGUGUUGAGCAUGAUUAUGUACAUGGGCAUAUGUAUGUGUGAUGGUUCAUUGGCAUGAGCACGAAAAUGCAUUGAGUUUUAUACAAAUGAGAAAGUGGAUUUUAACAAAU